GACGUCCCUAGUUCGGAUUGUAGGCUGAAAUUCGCCUUCAUGAAGCCGGAAUUGCUAGUAAUGGCAGGUCAGCAUACUGCCGUGAAUACGUUCCCGGGCCUUGUACACACCGCCCGUCACACCAUGAGAGUUGGGAAUACCCGAAGCCUGUGAGCUAACUUUUAGAGGCAGCAGUCGAAGGUAGAAUCAAUGAUUGGGGUGAAGUCGUAACAAGGUACC
RNAcentral lists this ribosomal RNA (219 nucleotides) under uncultured bacterium. RNAcentral's name for it is "partial 16S ribosomal RNA". It matches the Rfam family "Bacterial small subunit ribosomal RNA", at positions 1281 to 1500 of the family's 1533-position model. The record is from RNAcentral.